GCAAGUCGAACGCGAAAGCAGUCUUCGGACUGCCGGUAGAGUGGCGCACGGGUGAGUAACGCGUAGAUAAUCAACCCUGGGGAUUGGGAUAACUUCUGGAAACGGAAGCUAAUACCGAAUAAUACUUCUUUUUUAAGUGAGAAGUUGAAAUGGUCCGCCGCCCUGGGACGAGUCUGCGUACCAUUAGCUAGUUGGUGGGGUAAUGGCCCACCAAGGCGACGAUGGUUAGCGGGUCUGAGAGGAUGAUC
Molecule: ribosomal RNA, 248 nt
Filed under: uncultured bacterium
Lineage: Bacteria
Description: partial 16S ribosomal RNA
Rfam family: Bacterial small subunit ribosomal RNA
Source: RNAcentral